This is a long non-coding RNA of Mus musculus (house mouse), 9998 nucleotides long. RefSeq annotates it as predicted gene, 39404. Lineage: Eukaryota; Metazoa; Chordata; Mammalia; Rodentia; Muridae. The record is from RefSeq and is a predicted model, not a curated record. The transcript has 2 exons.
CAGAGAUGCAUAGAAAGAGAGUGAGAGAGACAGACAGAAACACACACACACACACACAUGCAUGCAAGAUUAAGGGGCACCUCUAUGUAUUCCAGUUUUCCUUGAUGGGGUUUAUGUAAACUAGUCCAUAGGCCUAGACUCAGCUUAGAUGUCAAAGUGCGUGGGAGAAGUGGACCCAAAGCAUAGCACAGACUAUACAGGCUGCUGCUACUCUCUGCUCUAUAGGAGUCACCAAGUGUCUUUGAAUAGGAAAGACCAGCAUAUUCUGAAAGUCAGACCUCGUCUAGGAUCUCGGGGGAGAUAAGAUGAAAGAAGAGAAUGGUGAGUUUGGGAUGGGAUGAGGCUUUGGUGGUAAGAGGUGAAAUUUGAGGGUCCUGGGCUUGGGAAAUGCACUCGUAAUAAAAUCACUGAGUCCUCUCCUAAAUGGGGGAGUAAACAAGAAAGCCCCUAUGCUAUGGCACUGAUUUCAACACAUGGUCAAAAGCAAGAGAAACAGAAAUAGAAAACCUUGCUCAGAGCUGUGUAAAAUAAAGUAGGUUCUUUUGCAGAGCAAAAAACCUUCCUGACAUUAUCAGCACUGAAGGACUGGUGGAUCCCUUGUAGCAACAGAGCAGAACGCUUUCUCUUGUCCAGCCUUGCUCAGAUCACACUGGGCUGUUUAUCAUUACUGGAAUAUUGCAGAUUCUCUGAUUCUGUAUAGCAUCAUUGCAGGCACGGAUACCAAAAAUAGAGAAUUAGUUGAGGGAAACCAGUGUUGAAAUGCAGAGUCUAUGAAUUUAUGAGAUCUGACUAUAGGUGCCGGGUCUGAGCAUAGCAACUUCAUCCCCGAAGGCAAAGGCUGCCUGCCUACUGUCAGUGAGGGUGACCUCAGCUUUCCAGCAUUAGCAUCUUGGGUCCGACUAAUUUGCAUAUGAGUGGUAUUAGCAAGGAUGAAAAGAUAAUUCUUAGGAGAAAUGACUGCAGAAAGGAGCAUUUGUCAAAGAGAACAGAUGAUAGGUUGGUCCAAUGCCGCUUCUACUGUAGGGUUCACGUGUUUGUUUUGUUUUAUUAACAUCUAUCUGUUGUUCAGAAUGAUGGAUUUCAUUUUGGCAAUGUUAUAACAUAAGUUGUGUACUUUUCUUAUUUUGCUCCCCCAUCCAUCCCUAUCUCUCUCCCUCUUUCUCCUUCUCUCUUUCUCUAUCUCUUCCGCUGCCUCUCUGCCUCUCUUCCAUUUUAUUGUUAAGUUCGCAUGCUUAAGUGUUGAGACUGGCCAGAAACUGUAGAUCCCAUUUGACUCCUUGACGUCACAGGAGAAAAGAUUCACAUCUGGAAGAUGACCAAGGGAUGCAUUCAGCAUCUCGCCGGCAAAGGGGAGAGAACACUCCCAUGUGGAAGGUAAGCAAUGGCCUCUCACCUAGAGGAGCAAGGGUCUCUGAGGAAUUCACAUGCACAUGUGUGAAUGGGGCACAGUAUAAAUAAGACAGCUCUUCAUGGGAUCGCUGUAACAAGUACGAGAGUGAGAAGAGGAUCCUUUGGUUGAUCUCUGUUAUCUCAAUGCUGUGUGUUUAUAUUGUUCAUUCUUCAUCUCACAGCUCUCAGCAGUUUUGAGAUCAUAAGGUCAAUAUUACUGUGAUGUCCCUCCAAAGUCCAUUAUUCCUGGUUGGCCUCUUUGGGCAAGGAAGGGCUGCUCAGAUGCUCUAUCUGCCAAGGCACACUGCUUGCCCGAUUCAGAGAGAUACUGAGGCCUCCAGUGAGAUUUUCUGAGUCCUCUUGUGUCCAAUGAUUACUCCAGAAGGACAGAAUGAAGUGUUUGGUGCUUUCAUCUUGCCAGGAAUGAGACAGAGUUGGGUAGAGUGGGGUUGGGUUUAUUUUUAGGUUCAACAGUUAACAAGCUCUGGCAUCUUUUUGCUCUGAAUGCUAAAGCCUGCCUUGACACCAAAUCCUGGCCUGAGGACAUUCUCAAAUUUUUUAUGAAGUACUCAAGUUCUCUGGAGGAACAGAUCUUUCCAAACUGCCCUGUGAGCUGGGCAGCAAAGGCCCCUGCUCUGACAGCUUGGCUUGAAGAACCUGCCUAUCACAUAUAUCAAGUUUCAAAAAUUCAGAUAUUUGCUAACUCAUAGAGCAAGUGAGAGUUAUAUGAGGGUCUUAGGAGCUAAGAUGGGACUCUGCCCAAGCCAGAGGGGAUGCAGAGCUGAGAACUCUUACCUUCAAAAAUGGUGGUGUUGGAGGACAGGAAGAUUGGUGAAGAAAAAUAACCACUUUCUUCCUUUGUUUUAGAAGCAUUGGGCAUUUGGAGAGGGGGAAGAUGCUACCUUCAAUAUGACCAAUGGCUCAAUGCAACUUUCCACCUGGAGGGCCUCUCCUACAGGAGAGUGUUCACACCAGGAAGAUGACCAAAAAGCAGAUGCACCUCUAAACAAGAGUGCCUCUCUCACAGGAGAGACGGUGUGCUCACAUGUGGAAUGGAGCUUAUCCAGGUCACUGAGCUAAAGCCUGGUUCAUCCUCUUGCCGUGCCAGCAGAUCUGCACAGGUCAGAGGGGGCUGACCCUUUAACCAUCACAUCUCUCGGAGAAUGUGUCCCAGAGUGGUCAGGAGGAGUACAUUGAAACAAGGUGCAGGCUCACCUGUGCAUUUUCCAGUUCCCACACUGCAAUGUGGAGAAGGUUAGUUCCUGACUCUGAGACUCCAGCCAUGGCCUGAGGCCUUAUGCCAGCAAACUGCCCACCUAGAAUGGUGUGGCUACUCACCCUACCCACCCUUCUGGAUCUGAUCUCUGUAGUUGGUUUUUUAAGGCUUCCCUGGCAAAGCACCACAGCCUGGCUGUCAUACCAACUUCAAUUGCUUUUUCACAAUUCUGGAACUAGGAAUCCAAGAUCAAUAUAUUUGAGGGUUAGUUUUUCCCCCAGGCCUCACUUCCCAGCUUGUAGAUGACUGCCUUAGUCCUUACUUGGUCUCUCUCCAGGCACACAGAUCCUUAGACUCUUUCUUUUCUUAUGAGGACACCUGUUGUAUCAGGUUAGGAACCAGUCUCACCAUUUCAUUAUCUCCAAACACAUUUACCACUUGAGUUACUAGGGUUUCGGUGUCAGUAUAUAAAUUCUGAGGGAAUAUAGUUUAGCUCCUAAUAGUCACUUAUUGACUAUAUGACUGGCAGAAGUUAAACUUUCUGAGCCUCCAUUUUUACAAUUAUGAAAUGGAAAGAGAAAUACCUACCCUACGAGGCUAGUGAGGCCAUUUCAACUUACACUGCUUAUAAAUAAGCCAAAAAUCCUUGAGUCCUCAGGUCACAGCUUGACUCUUGCAAGGUUGCUGAGCAUGCAUAUCAAGUGUAGCUGGGUUACCCAGCCAAUCUACUGAGUCUGUGUGGAUAGACAGAUGCAGGGUAACAUUAAACAACAGCAAGAAAGAAAAGAACAUGGCAUUUUAAGUAAUAGUUUAUGCAUAUUCCUUUUCAGAGAAUCUAUAUGUGGAAUUUCAGUCUGUGGGAAGUACUCUAUACAAAUCCAAAAACGAAAGUUAUAAUAAGUUCAGGUAUUAGAAAAUGAGACAAGGCUGGUUUUCAUUUUGCUGCAGUAUUUUUUUCCCCUUUCAACACUUUAAUUUUAGAGUGAAGCGAUUCAAAUUAUGUUCCCUAAUGGUCUUUGGUGUGCAUUUUACAAAUUGAAGGAAGAACAAAACAGAAGAGAGAAGCCAUUGCUAUAAUGGGUUUCAUUUUUCUUCUUUCUUUUUUAAUCUAAUGUUUUGAAGUGCUUUCUCAUGGGAAUAGAAGUUCCUUCACGAAAGCUGAAAUGAAAGGGAAGAAUUCUCCACACAGAGAGGCUCACAAACACAUUUCCAAUCUCAUCUCCAUGCACAGAAUAGGUUUUUGCUGACCUGCCAUAGGUCUGUGAGCCUCGUGAUGAAGGUUAGCUCAAAGGGAAGGUUUCAUCUCAGGGAAACAGAGGAAGUCUGCUCAGAAAGAACUUGCUCUUCCUUCUUGCUCCUCGACUGGCAGAGCCGAUGAUUCUGUUUUUCCCAGAGGCCUAUAGGGGACAGGGUUGAGAGUAGUAGCUGCUGAGGCUACACCGGAAGCAGAUGUUUGCCCAGAAAGAUGUGUCCUGGGAUGAGCGGGAACAAAGGUGGGAAGGGAGUCUGUGGGCGACAGGCUCAGGGAUAUUUUUUUCUGAUCAGUUGUAGGACAUUUUGAGGACUUCUGACCUGUGUUUGGAGAUCUCUUCCCUUCCUCUUAAGGUUAUUCUGCUGUUCUUCGGCUAACUUCAAGAGUUAGCUUGCUACUACUCUACCUGCUGAGGCUGAGGCCAAGGUCUGGCCCUGGAAGAUGUUAGCACUUAUUCACGGUUCUCCUCAGUUUUGCUCAAAUCCAGAUAAUGUUUCAGAUCCUUUCUAAACCACACGGAGUUUGACAGAUACAGUACAGGAGCCCAGCUGAAUUUAAAGCUUAGAUUAAUGGUAAUGUCUUAGAGUAUGUGAUCAUUUUUAUCACCCCUACCACCGAAUGCUUGACGCUACUAGCAAAGAUCAAAGGUUCAUUUUGCUCAUGGGUUUAGAGGCUUCAUUUCAUCAUGGCAAGCAGCACAGCAGAGCAUCCUUCAUCCUGACAGGCAGGAAGCAGAGCAGUAGUCUGACCAGGGCAAGAUACAGCCCCUCAAGGAAGGCUUCCUCAAGGAAGAUCAACAUGCCACAGUUCCGAUAUUUCCUUGUAGUCAGUUCAAAGUUUAAAUGCAUCAAUGGCUAUUUGUAUGUUUUCAGUCUGUCUAAUAAAGGCCCUAAAUAUUAUGACCCAACUUUGUCUUUUGAGCUUUUUGUGUGGUUUUGUUGUUGUUGUUGUUUCUUUGUUUGUUCUUGUUUUAUUAUUGUUGUUAUUGUUUGUUUGUUGUGGUUUUUGCUAAGUUUUCUUUCCUGUUUGCUUCCCCCCAAAUAAGCUACUAACCCUGGAUUCCCCACAGCAAACUUUGCAACAUGAACCCUAGUCCAAGCAAUUUAAUGUGUCUUCUUUGAAUGCGUUGGUAAAGAAAGAGGAAGUUCAGCAUUGCCAGUAGUGGGUGGCUAAAGCUGGGUCCUGUGGGAGAAAUUCUGAGAAACAAAACCCAUUUGUCCAGACUGUGGGCAGAAACAGCUGGGCUGUUUACAUACCAACUGUGCUAGUUACUAGCUGAGGGCUAUUUGGAGUGUUAAUCCUUUCAUGUCAUGUUCACAGGGAGGAGGCAUGAUCAUCUGGGCAUCUAAAGGAAAGAUCUCAGGUAGAGAGCAGAUGCGGGCAGGUAAGAGCAUCCUGGCAAUAGAAUAUCACCAUGCCCAGGGAACAGGGACAGUGGUAGCUGCUUUGGACACCUUUUCUCCUUUUUAGGGCCCUUCUCUUUGCUACUGUCAGACUCUUGCCAUCUUUAUCCUCGCUGCCCUUUGUUCUACUCAGACUGUAACUUAAACUGGGAAUCAAGACCUCUCGGGAGGUCAUAAUUGAACGUGGGAUCAUGGAAGGCUGGCACAACAUAAAAGAUUUAUGAACGGACAGCUGCCCCAAAUUAAUUCGACAUCAGUAGUGCGUGGUGAAUCCAAAGUGUUUCCGCUGGCGCUCACCUGUGUUACAUCACCUGACAUCCCUGCAGCCUUGGUGCGGAACACAGAGCAUGCGCACUUCACACUGCUCCUGCCCACACAGCAAGCAACUCUAACAAAGGCAAUCAGCCUGAACCACAUCUCUCCAGCUCAAGAGUGCUAUAUGAUGUGUGUUGCAGUAUUUUCACUAUUAACACAAAGUCUCCAGCUCUUAUAAUAAUUCAAUAAUUUAAUUAAGGAAAACAAAACUAUUUUUUAUUGCAAUUCAUCAACGUGUAAGCAUGAAAUUGUUAUAUCACUGAAUUGGGUUAAGGGGUCAGAACAUUAUGAUUUUAAAAAUUGCUGUUUGUGGAGCUGGAGUGUUUGCUAGUUAGGAGUGUUUACUGGCCAUCCGAGCCCUGGUGUUAGACAUCCAGUAAGCUCAUAUCAUGAUUCACAACCAAGUGUAACUCCAGCUUCAGGGAAUAUGAUGCCCUCUUCUUGAUUCUGAGGGUACCUGUACUCACAUGUAAACACAUCUGCACACAGAUACACACAUGUACACAUAAUUUUAAGGAUAAAAUAAAUCUUUAAAAAUGCCUGUUACUGACUAAUGUUUCACUUAAAAAGAUCAUUCAAUGGACUUGGCUGGGAAUGUCUGAAGUGGUCCUAAAGACUUAUGCCUUCUGCACUAUGUAUUUGUGAGGAAUAGUGUCCUCAGCAUUGAUGAUCACUAAAUUCAAGUAUCAGUCAGCUCUGAACAAUGCAGAAAAUGCUCUUUGUCCUGGAGCAUCAAAUACUCAGCCAAGAUUUAGUUCUUUAAGUAAAAAUUAAUAAGCACAUCCAAAUAUUAGUAAUUUCAAAUUGCCAUACUUAAGACAGAUUUCCUGCCAAUUUCAUUAUGUAUUAACAUUGUAUUAAGCUUUGCCCUAAGAAGCAGGCCUGUGAGAGGAAGGGGUCAAUCUAGAGUCCUCUUUGACAAGAGGUGGAAGGAAUGGGCUUUGAUGCCCUCCUCAUCACCUUGUCCCUCACCACCUAUGGCAGGCAGGAGAGCUGGCCCUGAGGUCACGAGAACAGAACUGGCCUCAUCCCUCAGCAGCUGCAACAGUAGGGAGAGUGGACCCUGCGCCUCACCUGGGCAGCACGAUAGAGCUGGCCCUGGAGGUAGGAGAACAGGAGAGUUGUCCUGGCCCCUUGCUGGCUGAGGCAUUGGAUGAGCUAGCUAGGGCAGUGCUGGAGAGCUCUCCCUGGUGACAUGGGGAGUGCAGGAGAGCUGGCAGGCCCAGGUCCAGGGCUGUGAGUUGGCCCACACCAACAUCUACCUCAUUGAUGAACUGCUGGCUCAUGUGAGUGGGCUGUACCUACAGAUCCACAGCUGCCAGAUCUCCAUGACACAGGGCAACAACAGGAUAUUGGGGAGGAGUCCCAGUGAGGAGCCAAUACUAGCAGAAGCCAGAGGCCUUGAACCAGACCAGUGAGCCAUUGCAAUGAACGUUAGCAAGCAAAGAUGUAUGGACAAAAAGAUGCACUGUGGGACACACUGUGACACAUUGCAUCUUCCACAAUGAAAUUUUUUUCACCCUUGUUUUUGGGAGGAGGUUGCCAGGUGGAGGGCAGGUAGGAGGGGGCAGAGAGAUGAUUGCGAUUGGGGUGCAAGAUGUAAAAUUCACAAAGAACCAAUAAAAAGUUUAAAAUAACAAAAAGGGAGAAUGGGCUUUUCUCCUUCGAGUGGCCUGCAGUGACCAGCCUGAUGCUCUCUUGACUCAGAGAACCUCACAAACAUGCAAAUCAUGUGUGCUUAGUGGUAACACUUGUAAAAUUCCCAGGGCUUUUGGGAUUCUGCACAUCUGAAAGUCUACAUGAACAUAUCACUUUAAAGAAGUAAUCUAUGCCAAUCCAGUGGUACCACAGCAGACUUGGUCGGUGUGUCCAGGCCAAAUUGGGGGGGGGGGCAUGAAUGGACAAAAUGUUAGUGGCCCAAAAAGAAUGUGAGUUUUUGCUACAUAGGCUUGAAAAUGGAAGGAGGAACUGAAGGCUUUAGGCAGAUGCUCUGGUCACUGAACACAUCCAAGUGAACAAAGCUCUCAGGGAACAUCACCAAACCUAUGGAGCUCAAGAUCAUACUGACCCACGUAAGACCUAUCCUCUGCCACACUAAGAUGAUCCUCUGAGAAGGAAGACAGAAGGAAAGGAGCCUGCAUCCAAAAACGAGAACCAUGGGAAACUGGCGGAGCAAGAGAAAUGAGGUCCCAGGGCAGGUUGCAGCUCCCUGAAUUAGAAAGAUAUACAAUCAAUCAGACUGUAAGAACUCCAUCCUACUGGAGUGAAAGCUCAAGCAGAAACCUCCCUGAGAGAUGGGCUGUACCUGAACUUGGAAAAACUGAAAUUGGUAAAUGGCUGGGGACUCAGCGGGGACACAUUGUUGAAGAAACAUAAGUCAACAAACCGAUUGAGCUCAAGGUCAGUCGUCAGGCACCCUACACUUUGUGAGUUUGAUUUCCAGAUUCCCCAGCGCAUUGUCACAGUAAAUACUGAAGCAAAACCACUCCAUGCUUUGGUGGAAGGAGGGGAGACAGAACUCUUGAUGUCUGCCAGAGCUGUCUGUUCUUGCCAAGAUCAGCAUUUAGGAGAAUCGAUUUUCCCAAAAGCUAAACGGAUGGGUUUUAUCAGACUGUAACCUAUCUUAGGGAAGGAAAAAAAAAGGACCCUCCCUCAGUCCCAUCUCCUCUAGCCAUCCUACCUCACCUCACAUGAAGAGAGCCUGAGAAGGACUGGUGGGGUUCAUAAUCCAGGGAAACACACUCCCAGAAAGGUUAUAAUAUAACCACGGGAAUACAGAAGAUGCCUUGUCCUGCACCAUCUCACUGUCUUGCUGCUAAAGGUCUGCUUACCAGUUCAGUUCCUCUUCCCUAACAUAAGAGUAGCAAUCAGACACCACAGUGUAUCUGGAAUUAUCAGAUCAGCAAUGUUUCUUGUAACAUUUUAACAGAAACAGUGUAGUUUUGUUGUAUAUUUAUGGAUGCAGUGUGAUGCAUUUCAACUCAAGUAUACAAAUUAGUAGACAAAGGUAAUUGGUAUUUGCAUCACCUCAAGAAUUUAUCAAAUCCCUCUAGAGUUGAAGCGUUUUUGACAAUUACCCUGAGAGAGUUGGGGAAAGUAUAGAAAACCCAAGAGUCGAUGAAUACUGUUAGCAGAGGGAUUCAGGCAGGAGUUCUACUACAGACUCUAACUGAGAGGCCAGAGACCAAACCACUGAUAGAAAUGACAGACAAAGACAGUCUUUACUAGGCUCACUAGUAACUUAGACAUGAUGAAGGAAGACUCCCUAAGCUUAAACGUACAAAAUCAGUAAAUUCCCAAAAUGAAGAAACAGAGAAAAUGUCUGAAAAAAUGAAAGUAGCUGUACAACUACCAAAGUCAUGAAAUGCAUGUGAUGAGAUCUCAGGAGAGAGAACAGGAGGUGGAGAAGCCACUUUGAAAUAGUGGCUAAAGACAUUCCAGCCUAGAAGCCAUCCUUCCAGAAAUCCCACAGAAAACAAAUCAGUGAAACCAAAGAAAGAGAGCGAGAGUUGGGCACACUGACACACAUAUGUAACCCUAGCACUCAGGAAGUUGAAGAGAGGGAUUGCGAAGUUGAAGGAUGCUAUACUUCUCAAUCGCAAAAUACCAGCCUGAAAUACAGAGUGAGGGCCUGUUCCUAAACAAAAACAACAACCAAAAGAAAAAAAAUCAAUAAACUAUACCUCGUCUUACAUACUAGUCAGCUUCCCGUUAGUGUAACAAGAGACCUAAGGUAAUCAAUCGAAAAAGAGGAGGCUGAUUUUACCUCACAGUUGGAAGUUUCUACUCUAUGGCUUUGGAGCAUAUGAAGCAAUCCGUCAUAGAUGGAGCAGGUAUCCAAGGAAGCGUGUGACUCUCAGACAGGCAUGAGGUAAAGACAGAAAGGAAGAGACAAAAGUCCCUUAAAAGCUGUCCCCCGAAGACUAGAAAGCUUCUUAUAAGAUUCCCAUCUCUUAACAUUUCCACUCACUCCCAAUCGCACCAGGCUGAAGACUAAGCCUUUAACACCAUGGCACCCGGGGGAAAGCCCAGACAGUAUAACAGUGUAGCAUUCAAAUUCAAGAAAGUCAAAGCUAAAUAAGUAUCCUGGAAAAGGUCUGUGGGGGAAAACACACCUGUGCUGGUUUGAAUGAGGUGACUCCCAUAGUCUGGGGCAUUUGAGUGUCUGGUCUUUAGUGGGUGCUGCUCUUUGGGUUAGUUUAGGAAGUAGAGCUUUGCUGGAUGAACUGCAUCACUAGAGGUGAGCUUUGAAAGUUUAGUGACUCCUAUCACUUCAAGUCUAUUCUCUGCCUCAUGCUUAAGGCUAGGGGUGUGAGCCUCGAGCUGCGGCUGCAGCCACCGUGCCUGCUGCCAGCCUGCUCCACUCUAACAUUAAGUCUAACCCUUGAGAACUAUGAGCCCUAAUAAACCCUUUCUUCUCUAA